AUUGAACGCUGGCGGCAUGCCUUACACAUGCAAGUCGAACGGCAGCACGGGUGCUUGCACCUGGUGGCGAGUGGCGAACGGGUGAGUAAUACAUCGGAACAUGUCCUGUAGUGGGGGAUAGCCCGGCGAAAGCCGGAUUAAUACCGCAUACGAUCUACGGAUGAAAGCGGGGGACCUUCGGGCCUCGCGCUAUAGGGUUGGCCGAUAGCUGAUUAGCUAGUUGGUGGGGUAAAGGCCUACCAAGGCGACGAUCAGUAGCUGGUCUGAGAGGACGACCAGCACAACUGGACCUGGGCACGGGCCCAACCCCCAAGGGAGGGCGCCGGGGGGAAUUUUGGGCAAUGGGGCGAAGCCCUAUUCCGCAAAGGCGGGGGGUGUGAGAAAGCCCUCGGGGUGGAAAGCCCUUUUGUCCGGAAAGAAAUCCUUGGCUCUAAUACAGUCGGGGGAUGACGGUACCGGAAGAAUAAGCACCGGCUAACUACGUG
Molecule: ribosomal RNA, 485 nt
Filed under: uncultured bacterium
Lineage: Bacteria
Description: partial 16S ribosomal RNA
Rfam family: Bacterial small subunit ribosomal RNA
Source: RNAcentral